Molecule: long non-coding RNA, 22950 nt
Filed under: Daucus carota (carrot)
Lineage: Eukaryota; Viridiplantae; Streptophyta; Magnoliopsida; Apiales; Apiaceae
Description: long non-coding RNA (DCAR_LNC004985)
Source: RNAcentral
UUAACCAUAAUCAGGCGCGCCCUGAUAUUCAGGCGCGCCCUGAUCCAUGUCUUCUUCAGAUUCAACUUCCUCCUCAGGUUCUGGCUCAUCCACAACUUUUGCCUUUCUCUUUAUAGGGCGGCCCCCGUAAAACUCCUGAUAUGAGCAUAUGUUACCCACAGAUUCGCUUAGGAAACCAUAUUCUAUCAAACGCUCAGUCGUGACUAGGUGAUUAAUGAUCUUGCUCUCAUAAGGAAGGUUGAUUAUGUUUUCCGCACGCUUCUUGGCGCGCCCAGAAAGCGUGGAUUGUUUUCUUUCAACUAAAGAAAAAAGAGGGAGUAAAAUGACUAAGUGUAAAAGAGUUAAGAGCAAAGGUGACCAAGGAAAAAUUAACAAGGCGCGCCCAGAAGAGAUGAAGACUUACUAGGUUUUAUGUUAAAUUGAGUCCUGAUUCUUUCAUCAGGCCAAGUAUAGAAGAAUGGUUCCUUCCAUUUUUUGUCGUGGCUAGUCUUUCCUUCUGACCAGCGGGUAGAGUUGUGGGUUUUCCAAACAACCAGAUAGUAGUAUCCACAGCUGGACGCGCCCAAGCGGAAGAAAAAGCUGAGAUCCUCCAUGGUAGGGGCCCGGUUAUUAUGGUCACGGUAUAGCAUGUAUAAAGCGAAGGCUAACUUCCAACUGUUGGGAGAUAACUGAAUAGGGGCGAUAUCAUACCAUUCGAUGAUGGACUUGAAGUAAGGAUGAAGUGGGGGCCCGAUGCCAAGCUUCACCAAUUUAGGCGUUAAAACCAUUCUUGGAAUACGCAGUCGAGGGUUGUAAUCAAAAACAUGAGGUCUCAUCCAUGGAUGAGGGCGCGCCCAGAUGCAUCCUUUAUCGUAAUACCGCAAACACCAUUCAAUCUCUGCCUUAGAGGCAGUAGAGGAUAAUCCUACACAGGCUAACUUUCCUGCCUUCUUGCGCCUCUUAGCUUUCAGGGUCUCGCGGAUGUCCCCCUCCUCUUCCCAGUCAAAGUCCAAUUCAGCAUCAGUUAUUGGGGGAUGGGCAUAAGGAUUUGGAGAAGGAGCUGGAGAAGGAGGGCGCGCCUCAUCUGGAUGGCCCUCCUCAUCUAUAGCAUUAUAGAAGUUUCUAGCCUCUUCCUCAGCUGCAGCCUCCUCAGAAUCUUCAUCGCUUUCAUCACCAUCAUUCUCUAAGCCAUCCUCAGCGUGUUUAUUUAGUUGAUCGUUCUCAGAUUCCGAAACGUGGCUCUUCUUAGAAAAAUUACGAAGAUCCUGCUCAUCUUGAUCUAGCAACUCAUUUAGGUCAAUUUGACGAGAUUCAUAUAACUCAGGUGAAGAAGCCCCACUUUCCGUCACACCCAUGGUAGAUCGAGGAGGGAACGAGCGUAAAGGAAUGGGUGAAAGAGGACCUGGCGCGCCCAGAAUAGCCAGCUGCAAAAGAAAAUGAACGGAUUGUGACAACUGGGCGCGCCAAAAUAAAUAUAAAAAAAAAGAAGAAGAAAAAGGAAAAAGAGAUUGAAGCAUAAGUAGAGAAGAAAAGAAGGGAUGAAUGAAAGGAAUAGGUAAGCUUUAACCUCUAUCCGCAACAAUGCAAAAGAAUAUUGUACAGAAGGGUAAAGAGCGCGAGAUAAGAAUUAACGAAUAGAUGGGGACAAGGGGCGCGCCAGGAAAAGAGAAAAAGGAGAGCUCGACAUAACAGACAUAUUUAAUCCUAUGGCAUACACCUACAUAGUAAAGAACCAGGAAAUUUUGCAUACUAUUACGAGGCGCGUCUAGUCUAUAUCAAACAACUCAGACAUCACAAACAUCUAUCUCAGAUUAAAGAUUCCUUAAACAAAAUCAAACGCAUAUACAUACACAUAUAUGUACAGUAGAAGCGUGAAGAACAGCGAGGAAGAUAAAUAGUCACAUGCUCAAAUCUAUUAAGUUACUCGGCGAAAUAGGGGGAUAAAGGUAUGAGAAGAUACCUUAUGAAGAGAGGAACGCUGGGCUGGUCUCGGAAUUUGAAAUGGAGCACAGAUGCGACCUGAGAAGCUCGAUGAAGGUCGACGGCGACGAAAGGCGGUUAUGGAGUAAAAGAAAGUGAGAUGAAAAUGAAGAAGUGAAAAAGAAAACCCGUAUUUAUACCUGGGAGAAAAUAAAGAAUUAAAAUAAAGGAAAAAUCACACGAUCAUGGGAUACAGCUGUAUACAACAAGGGCUUCAACGGUCAUGAACCUAAGGCGCGCCUAGAUAGGUCAAAGACAGUUGCUGAAAGGAGGUGAAAGUUUUAAAGAUCUCGUCGACAUUUUCAAUAUCACCAAGAUCUGGGGGGUAGUUGUUAUAUACGAAAUUGCGAGGACUUAUUAAAUGGGCCGAGCCCACGGAAGAAAGACUAUCUGGGCCAGGGAAAUCAAGAUCAGUUCAAUCUCAAAGUAACCCUGUCAAAAGAUAGGGCGCGCCCUAUCUUUAGGCGCGCCCACUUUCCGAGGGAAGUUCAUUUUGUCAUAAUUUUGAAGGGCAGUGAGAGGUACUUUGUGCUCGGGGGGACGCCCUUGAGCGCGGGUAGAUCUCAUUGUUAAAGUAAGAAGACCCUACCUUGUAGUCUAGGGAGUUGUCCUCCUUGGGAGGUAGAGGAUAGCGAAGAAGACGCCUUGGAAGGUCCUAUCUCUGUAGUCUGGCGGGUUGUCCCUGUCGGGGAGUAGGGGAGUGUCCUUGCAUUUGGGGUAAGCCCAAAGGGCUAGGCCUCAUCGUAUUGGACCCCUUCCAGGAGGAAGAUUCUAGAAGGGGAGGCCCAGCCCACAUGGGUCUCUUAGGAGAAAGAACUACGUAACGGCUUGAUCCCCUAUAAAUAGGGGUACGUAGGCAGAUUGUAGGCAUCGAUCAUUCUUGAGAGCUAUUCCAGUUAGCAAUCUCGAACCCUUUGCUUACAAUUGCAGCCACCCCCAUAACAAACAACCAACCAUCUCCUACAUUCUCGCCGACAGAAAUCUUGAUCCACGCCGCGAACCUCAUCUUUGUUAACCUACCAGUUUUCUCCGUUAACAACAACAUUUCAAAUGAACAAAAUCAAAUAGAAAUUAUAACUAAUAUUAGGUUAUAGUAAGGACUAGUGGAGUGGCUUAAUCUAAAAUAUAGUACUUGCCCUGUAUGAACAGUGUCUUAAAUACUUUCUUCGGCCAAAAUAAAUCAUGAAGUUAGUAUAAUCUUUUAAUAAAUAAAGAUGUGAUAUAUUAUUAUAAGAAUAAUAUAUGUAUAUAAUUAUAUAAUAUAAAUAUUAUACAUAUAUUAUAUGCGGUGCGGUGCGGUUUGAACCGCGAUACGUAAAUAUAAAACCACAACCCGCACCGCACCGCGCGGUUUGUAAAAAAUUCAACCCGCGACCGCACCACGAAAAUUUAAAACCACGUUCUGUGGUGCGGUUCGGUGCGGUGUGGGCGGUCCGGUGAACACCCCUAGUUAAAACAGAAAAACAUCUACAAUGAUCAUAUAUUUUAUUUUAAAUUUUACUAAUUCUUCGAUUUUACAUUUAAUCUUUUUUUUAAAAAAACUACCUAACGUUUAACUUAUAAUUAUAUGAUAUGACGUGUUAAUUUGAGUUCCAUCUAUUGUUCAAUAUUUAGAGAAUGGCAAAUUUUGUUUUUUUAUUCUUAUAAUACGAAUUUGGAUUUGAGGUUUUUAAAGAUGAAAAUAUAUAUUCUCCUUUCAAAUACACAAAAUCACACCACAAAACAGCAAAUCAUGUCAACAAAUAGGUACAUGAGCGACAGACAUACAAGCUGACUCAAGAGAUAUCUUAUAUAACAUAUUUUAAAUUAUAAUUUAAGACAUUUGGUGAAAAAUGUUGAUCCAAUAAAAUUCCAGCCAUGUCAACUUGCAACCCUUAUGCUCUUUUAUAGAAAAGAAAAAAAUCUGCCGAAAGUGAAUCGUGGUUCGCUGGUAGCGUAAACCUGUUGUCUUAUACCACAAAUCAUUUUUCAUCUUUUAAAAAAUAUUACUUGCAUAGACGACAUAAAAAAAAAAAGGAAAAGAAAUUGUCGCCUAGAGACAGCAGAAUUGCGUAUGUUGCGUUGGAUUUGUGGUAAGACUAUGACAGAUCAUAUACCGAAUGUUACUUUUAGACGCCUUUUAGGGGUUGAGUCUAUCUCUAAGAAAAUAAGGGAGGGGCGUUUACGUUGGUAUGGACAUGUUCGGCGUAAAUGUAACUCAGCCCCGGUUCGAAGGGUUGAACGCAUAUCGGUUCGGGGAAAGAGAAAGAGAGGUCGGCCCCGUCGGACGUGGUCUGAUCAAUUGAGUUUGGACUUGGGAGCCCUAAAUCUAACGGGAGAUAUGACAUUAGAUAAGAAUGAUUGGCGAAGGCGUAUUAGAGUAGUUGAGACUCGGUUUAGUGGCUUACAGGGGUUUUGAGUGUUCUGGUGUUAUGCUUUUAGGACAAGGCGCAGGUGCAACGGCUCAGAUCAUUCAUGCACAGAUGCAUUGCCGAUGAAGGUGAGUCCCAUGUGUUAGCAAUCAUGGGCUAAGGUACAAUCUACUUAUAUUUCACACAAAACUUUGUCUUGCACUAAGCCGGGGGUCUCACGGAAACAGCCUCCUUACUCUAAAUGAGUAGGGGCAUGGUCUGCGUACAGUUUACCCUCCCCUGACCCUGCUCUAAGCGGGAUAUACUGGGUUUGUUUGGUUUGGUUUACUAUCAUUUCUUUCUGAAGUCAGAGCAACUAAAUUCUCAUUGCAGUUUUCUUUCAUCAACCAUCCCACUAAAAAAUCUCGGACUCCUCAACUUAUCAAGUGAUCAGCACCAAAAACAAACACUGAUAUAAAUCACUAUACAAUCAAAUGUUCUCCUUGUGUUUCUUUCUAAUUGUAUGUGCUCAUUUUUUGUUUUUUUUUUUGUUUUUUUUUUGCAUUGUUUGUAGUCCUGGAUAACUUGGCUAGCACACGAAUCCACUGAAUUUGCAUAUUAUAUCACUAUUUUCCAUAUAUGACAUUAUAGGGACAAACCACAUAUCAUUGAAUCAAAAGGAUGAAAAUCUCUGAGUGUAUGAAGACAGGACUCAGGAGAGUACAACAGCAAUAAUCAUCACGAAAAACCAACUGAAAUCUUCACCAGUUCUCAAUUUUUUACUUAAAAGAGUACGUAAUAAAACUGAAUCUGAUCACAAAUAUUAAACUGAAUACGAGUCCACUCUCUGAAAUCUUGUCCAACUAGCUUCAAGCGUAAUUCAGCCGGAAUACGUCAUUCAACACAUAAAAGCUUCCCUGUGGUGUAGGCAUCAAAUGGAACAUCUGCGAAAAAAUAAAGAUGAAUAAAUUCCCAGUUAUAACCAGAAAAAAUAAUCAAUUGACAAGAUAGAUUAGUAAAAAGACAUCAGAAUAAGAAAAAAAGUUCUCUUGAACUAUGCUGAUUAGUGGAAUAACUAGUUGUUUUGAGGCAGAAUAUAUUACACGCUACCACAGACAUUGUAUAGUAAAACUUAAAACAUCAUAGGCUAGUAUCCCAUCUAUGUACGAAGACCAUAGCAUUCAAUUGAGGACAUAUAGUCAAGUGAAAAAAAGGAUAUAUCUAUCCUUACAAAAACAAAAUAAGUAAAGAACACUUGUAAAGGUAAUACGCGUGCCCAUAAAUCAAAGAUGACCAUAAAUCACUCACAAGCAGCCAUCAGACUUAUGACAAAGAAGUGGCUGAUUAAAAAGACACUAUUACCCGAUACUUCAAUCGACACGAUCUAAAGCUAAUGUCUUUAAUCAUAAUAAAGAGUCAUAGUUCUAAAUUAAAGCAGAAACUGAACCGAUAUUAUGACAGACUACACACAAAGGACACCAAGAAAAGGUUCAAUUAAAGAUUUCGAUCAUUGGAACACAGUUCUUAAUUUAAUUUAGCCCCAAUAUUACCUAGUGAUCAAGUCAACUAGAGGUACCAUGAUAUCAAGUUUGGUUGCGGUGCUGAUACGUAUAAGAACUAUAUUACUACCUUCAAAGAGAACCCUAUGGUUACCAAUAUUUAUAUUGGGAACUGUGUGUCCUUUCAACUAGAAGUUACAAAAAUCAGUUGUACACUUGCAUUCUUUCAAUGUUCUAGACAAACAGAAUUAUAUACAUAUCUUUCAUGUAGACAUCAGGUUACUUACGUUAAAACAUACACUCCAUUUCAAGGGAAGGAGAUUAUGAUGCAUGUUGUUUGGUCUUAAGUAAUCUAACUGAUACGUAUGCAACUCCAAUUUUUCUUAAUUACAGAGAAAAUUUUGGAUCACAUCUUUUAGUGAACAAAACAUAAUCAAACUCAUUUACUAACCAAGUAAUUGAUACAGAGUAGGUUUGACCAUAUAUCAUCAAUAAAAGGUGUGCAAGAUGAAAGCAUUAAUAAUUAAAUUACACUUCUAAUAAGAACAUUAUCAGGAGUAAGUUGACAGAUUAUCAAACCAAAAAAUCAAAUUUGGUGAAGCCCAGCAAGAUCUUCAAGAUUCACUACAUAAAUGCAUAUGCUAAUGUAUCUAGCAAGAUAUAAAAAUAAAAAAUAUAAUUAUUCAUUAAAAAUAUAAAAGCAUUCAAAAGCAUCCUUGCUAGCUUUGUGGUUCAUUAUUAAUAAUCUCUUCCUUGGCCAAACAAGACAGUCCAGCUUUUAGUUUUUACAAAAAAAACAGUGCAGCAAAAUAACACAAAAUUUGAUGAGGGGAGAAUGAAGUCAAACUAUCAAAGAAAACAAUUCCAAUUCCAAAUACUUUCAGAUAGCAUAAUAGGCAGUACAAUGCCAUUAAUAGUUCAAUAGGUGAUUUGACUGCUACAGACAGGUUGACAGGAAGCCUAGAGGUAAAAAAGACGUUAGACUUGACAUUAACAAAGAUCUGAGUAAUUUUUACCUCUUAGACCUAGUUUAAUACUGUAGUAAGAAUUACCCUAAUAUUGAAUUUCGAACCUCCUAUCUAAGUAACAUAAGAAUAACAUACACAAGCCAGAAAGAAUCACACACCUAAGAACGAAAUUCAUUAGAGCAUAAGCCACGAAGGAAAGCCCUUACAUCUACCAUCAUUUAAAAAGCACAUAAUUCCAACAAUCAAGCUGCCGAAUCAGUUACAUUACACAUCUAAGUGAUCUAACCAACCACAAAGCCAUAGCAAGAGAAAUCAAUAAAGCCAAUUUCACAAUAAUAGAUCAAUUCAGAUCAAACACCCCCCCCCCCCCCCCUCCCCUCUCUCCAACACUAAUUCUAAUUCCAAUUAGCAUAAGCAAUUGCAAUACCAGAACAACUUCGAAAUCGACUACUAACGUAUAAAACACCUCAAACAAUUACUAAGUAGAGGGAGGGAGGGAGGGAGAGAGAGAGAGAGAGAGAGAGAGAGAGAGAGAGAGAGAGAGAGAGAGGGAGAGAGAGUGAGGGAGGGGGAGGGAGAGGGAGAGAGAGACCUGACUAAACCUAAGAGCAUGCUGUUCGCCAGCGAGCUGAAGAUUCCCGGAGACAAAAACAAGCAUACCACCAGCAGGACCAGAAGGCUGACAAUCAACAGUGGAGAUGCUAUGUUUACACUGCUGAAACGGGAGAGAAGUAAGCUUAGCAACGAUAUUGACGGAGCCUUGAAUCUUCUGACCUUCGAAAGUCAACAUCGAAGCUUCCUGAUACAAAUUCCCCAGAUUCGAACGAUUGUUAUCGAAUGUUGAGUAGUAGUGCUCCACAAACGCCUUGGCCACUGCAUCUGGAUCCAUCUCGCCUAUACACACAGCUGCUCUUCUCUGCUCUCUGUAUAUAUUUCUAUGUAUCAAAAAUACCUAACUCUCUGGACCUUGAAUCUUCUCCCCUGCCCCUAGUACUCUAAUUAUAAUAAAAAAAAUUAUUAAUAAUUUAUGAAUUAAACGGUGUUGACAAAAUUCUGAUUAAUUUUCAAUGAAAUGAUGUCAAUGAGAUAUUAACUUUAUCUGUAUCUAACUGAAUUGUCAUUUUUAUAUUAUUAAUUAAUAAUUAACAAUAUCUUCAUUUUAUGUCAUCAAUAAUAUAAAUAUAGUAUUUUUAUAAUAAUAUAAAUAUAGUUUUAAAUAUGUAAUAUCUAAGGAAUAAUAUACUAUAUACAUUAAUUAAUUAGGGACAUAUUUGAAAAUUCUGUAAUUUUGAAAAUUAAUUUUACAAAGUAACUUGACAUAUUUAUACUUGAAAUAUUUGUGUGGGAUAUAAAUAUAAGUGAUAAAUUCUUUUUCGAUAUUUUCAGAUUUAUAACAAUCGAUUGUGAAUCAGAGCAUGUCCAAUAAUUAUGUUAAAAAAGAAGGAACUAUCAGUAUAAUUUAAUAUUAAAAAAUGAUUAUUUUUUGUGUUAAAAUAGAAAAACAUCUACAAUGACUUUAGAUUUUGUUUUAAAUUUCACUAAAUCACAUAUUUCACCUAAAUUAAAUCAAGCUGGAUAAGAGUAUUUUCUAUGAGUUGGCUAUAGUUGGAGAUGAUCUAACAUGUUAUAUCUAUUAGAUUAAAUUCUUGGAUGGGAUGAGUGAGACACAAACGAUAAACUCUUAACCAUCCAACCGUGCUCCUAACAUGCUAAUUAUAGAUCCAACUUUUUUUUUUUUUUUGAACAAAAUUAUAGAUCCAAGUAUUGUUCAAUAUUUAGAAUAUUUAGAGAAUGGUAAGUUUUAUUUUUUAUUCUUAUAUAUAUAUACAGAUUUGGAUUUGAGACUGUAUACUGUUUUUAAGGAUGAAAUAUAGAUUCUGCUUUCAAAUACACAAAAUUACACCACAAAACACCAAAUCAUGCCAAAAAUAUGUACGUGAGCCAGAGACAUAAAAGCUGACUAAAAUUUGCUUCACAUUACUCGUUACUAAUUCUUAACAGUAAUUACACCAAGUCCAUAGAUGAUCAGAUCAUUGGCAUUGUACAAAACAAACACACUCAUUUGAGUAUUGUCCUAGUAUAACUACAUGUAAUCUAUAGGAGAAGCUAGUUUAUAUAUAUACAACCUGCAUAAUCUUCUCUCAACCUAAUUCUACUAUUUCUGUAACACAAUAAAUAUUAUCGAUCUCUAUGAUACAAACAUCGACUCUCCGAAACCCCCUCAGACUGUAUCUUUAUCAUGUCCUUCAAAUUCUUCUCAGGUUUUUAGGUGAUAAUAUCCUUCAGAGGCUCUUAGAAGACGAUGAGAUCAAAACUGCGUGGAAAUGAAUUGUGUCAUCUCGCUCACAAUCUGUACAAAGAAUUCCCACAUCUAAUGCCUAGUAUAUACACUCCAGUUUGGUGGAAUAAAUUGGGUUCCUGGACAGAUAUGAAGCAAAGUCAAUAAAUUCGAAUGCUGGUUUGGUUACUGAUAAGGCCCAAUCAAAGUUGGAACUGCCGACUAAGAAGUAAGAACUUACGAUCGGGAAAUAUCUGGACCCCUCGUGAGCAUUUCAACAAGAUGUCUCAAGGAGCAGGCAAGAAUGCUUCUAUUAUUGACAUGCCUGCACCACUCUCCUGCAGAUUAAAUGAACUAUACGAAAAAGCGUGAAACCUCACGAUAGAGUUGUUCAGCUUCAAACGGUUUCGAGACAUAACCAUCCAUUCCAGAUUUUAGGCAUUCUUCGUUGGUAGCAUGAAUCACGUCAGCAGUCAUUGCCAUAAUAGGAAUAUGACAUCUUGAGAUGUCUUUGUGAGCUUCUUUUAACAUUUCUCCAUGUUGUAUACGGCCAUUAAUUUUAGAUUCCAUGUCUCGGAUCCUUCGUGUAGCUUCAAACCUUUAUCAGAAAAAUCUCACCAUCAGUCAUAUUAUGUAGUAUUGAACACAUUGACACUGACCAGAUAAGCAUGCUCAGUUGAUAACAAAAAUCAAAGAAGUGUACAGAAUAAUUAAAAGGAAAAAAAAAAAAAAGAUAAGCUUUCAGGUNAAAAAUCAAAGAAGUGUACAGAAUAAUUAAAAGGAAAAAAAAAAAAAAGAUAAGCUUUCAGGUGGUACUAUCUACGACUGGCAUAAAUGUAAGCCACAACCAUCUGCCACAAGGUUGAGCUUCGGAUAUACAAAAUUAACUAUUAAAAAUAAUUGUGAUCCUGAAAUAUUUUGAAGAUAAUAAAAAAAGAAAAAAUUGGAAAAGAGCUAGUAAGAUAGUAACUUAUAGGAGAAUAGAAGAUUUAAUACGUACCCAUCCAUCUCAGGCAUUUGGAUAUCCAUGAAGCAAGCAUCAAACUGGUGCGGGGGCUCCAGCAGUGAUAUUGCCUUCUUUCCGCUGUCUGCACAGACAACGUCAGCGCCAUACUUUUUCAAUGCACCAGCAGCUACUCUGAGGUUAACAUUAUUGUCAUCUACAACUAGAAUUUUUCUACCAAGGAGAAGACUACGGAGAGACAAACUCGGGAGCUCCCCAUUUCGGUAAUUUCCUCGGUUUUUUGCACCCGUGGCACGUUGUAUAGAAGCAGCCAGCAUGCUUGCUCUCAAGGGUUUCACAAUGACGUAUGGAUAAUAGUUACCCAAAGUUGCAUGCCCGUUUCUGCUAGAAUUUACAGAGUUAGCUAAAAGGAAUACUUUCGGAGGAACACCUUGGUCAAAAUUCAUCAAUCGACUGACAAAGAGAGCUGACAUGCCUAAAUCCUUGUCCCAAACUUCUUGUUCAACUAGGACCAUGUCAAUAACCUUUUUUCCACUGCUCAUGACAGAUAAACCAUGACUCAAACCAAUCACUACUUCGACCUGGAUCCCAAGACGUUGAAUAUGAUACCUUGAUGCUUUUGCUCGGACCUCCCUACUGUCCACAACAAUUGCUUUCAUGCCUUGAAAUUCUUUAUAUCCCGACUGCUGAUUGAUUUGCUGAAUCUUCUGUGAAUAUGAACUAUUGCCUCCAUUCGUAAAUACAGCAGUAAAGGUGAAGGUGGAUCCUACCUUGGGUACGCUUACAAACCCGAUUUCACCAUUCAUAAGGCCAACCAAGCACUUGCUUAUGCUUAAUCCAAUUCCUGUGCCCCCAUGUGUUCGAGAAAUAGAGGGGCCUACUUGCAUAAAGGGAGUGAAAACACGGGAUUGGGCUUCUAAAGGGAUUCCAACACCAGUGUCCUCCACUGAUACAAUGAGAUUGAUGGUAUCAGAAGAAGAUGAUACAGAAGAAUUUGACCCCUCUGGAUUUAAUAUUUUAAAUCCUGCCCAGCUCUUGCUUUGAUCUGCUACUGGCAACCCACUUAAGGUGUUCUGCCACGAUGAUUCCUUCUCAACUUCUGUCAUGUCCAUCACCUCGUCAACAAGAUGGACCGUUACGAAGAUAUGCCCUUUCUCAGUGAACUGUAAAAUCGAAGAAUAAACAUUGCUGAGAUAUUUACAAUUUUUUUUUUUUUUUAAGUGAGCUAUUUACAUUUUAAGAAACAGAAUACAAAAAAAAAAGUAACUCGAGAAGAAUGGUGUAAACUAAGUUGCACAAAUAAAUCUGCCUUUUGCAAGCUAUCGAAAACUAAAGUCCAGACUAACACAGAAUAUAUACUCCCAGUUCAAUCUUUUCAUAUAGAUACGUUUGAUUGUCUAAUGGAAGGAGUCUUAUAGUUUGACCCCUUCCUAUUUCAUUUUCUGACAGCUGCUACUUUAUACAUGCCACGGUGAUGUACCAAAUUAUUUUUUUUACAUUAGAUAGUAUAUUACUUGGUGCUAAUUCCUUUGGUACGGACCCCGACUUCAGGUAUUUAUUUAACAACUGGGUCACAUUUAUAAACUUACUUUGAUUGAGUUGCCCAUAAGAUUUGUGAUGAUCUGUCGGAAUCUUCCAGGAUCGCCAAUUAGCAUCUCAGGGACCUUGUCAGAAAUGUAAACUGACAACUACAACAAGUGAAAGCCCUUUAGAACAGAUAUAAAAUAUUAAAAAGAAAGCCACAAAGGCAAUUAAGAACAAAGAAUGAUGUCCUUUAGAACAGAUAAUAAAAUAUCAAAAGAAAACCUCAAAGCCAAUAAACAACAGAGAAAGGUAACUACAAAAACUAUAUAGUUUACCUCCACUCCCUUGUCUUGAGAUUUUCCAGAAAAUAGAGACAAAACAUCAUCCAAUAUCUCUCUCAGAUCAAACCGCACUGCUUCGAGCUCUAGCUUACCAGCUUCUAUCUUUGCUUGGUCCAGAACCUCAUUUAUAAGAGAGACUAAAGCUUUUCCGCUGGCCUGUGCAGUCCUAACAUAGUCUUGUUGAGUAACAUCAAGAUCUGUGUCCAUGAGCAUAUGCAACAUCCCUGCAGAGAUGAAGCUACACAUGAAAUUUGAAACAAAAAUACCUGGCAUUUCUGUUUAUUUUUCCUACCAAUGUAUAAUGGUUAAUGGAGAUUAAUUAAUCUUACCGAGCACACCAUUCAUUGGGGUCCUGAUCUCAUGGGAAACUGUAGCAAGGAACUACAGCAUGCAGAUAGAUUAUUAGGAGCACAUUAAAAAUAUAUAAACGUAAAAUUUAAAUCAUUAGUAAAAGUUAUAUACCUGUGAUUUGGCAACAUCAGCUGCCUCAGCACGUUUCUUCAGCUCUCUCAUCUUUUGGAAAUCAUCUUCAACCUUGGUUAUUCUAUUCAUAGUUGCAUGAAAUAUUUGGGCAACAAGAAGCGUAAUUACAAGGAUCCCAUAUGAAGUUGUUAUUGCUAGCCAUGGCCAAGGGCGUUUCUGCUUAAAUCUGCACACAAAAUUUUUUUACUGAGGUGAUCUGAUAAUAGUUGCAUGAAUAUUUGUGUGAAAUACAGAACACGCCGGUGGUUCUGAUAUAUAUAAUAGCUGUUAAUCAUCUUAGUUGAUCAAAAGUCGUCAGUUGUAACUAGUCAGUAACUUGAAAUAGAUGGGAAUUGCAAGGGACUGCUUAUAUGAGGCAGGAAACCAGAAGAAAUUAGUGCUCCGUAGUCAAAGAGACAAAUAAAACUCUUGUACUCACUGCCAAAAGAGACAUUAAACCCUUCUACCCACUGGCAUUCUGUCUAGAAAUUGUUUGACCGCAAAGUGUAUAAUAUCACAAUCAAGUGUUUCAUUUCAACAGUGUAAGAGCAUUCACUGUUUGAGAGAAGUUAUUUAGGUAAUGUAGGAGAGCUAGCAUGGAGUUUGCAUUUACAAAUGACAAUUACUCCUCUGCCUGAUUAUAUGUAUUUAUGUGCGAGUCAAGGUGAUUUUUGUCUACCGACCUGAGAAAGUAUGAUACUGAUCCAAUUCUUUAACAUUCACAAGUACAAUAUUGUAUCACUCACCUGCAACGCAUCUCAUGCUUUCUGAAGGGAUCUCCAAAGUUAAGGGGACUAACAUGCUCCAACAAAUCUUCAAACUCAUUUGAACCGUACAUGCUGAUAGGGGAAGAUAGGUUGGUGGUAUCAUAGACAUUCACGAGUAUUGUUUGUUUGCUCGCAAGCUGUUGAAGUAACUUUUCUACAAGCGAUUCAAUAUCAAAUAUUCCACCAAGGUACCUGAUUGAAAACAAAAACCAUUGUGAUAAGGUUGUUCAAUGUGUUGAAACUUUCUCUAUUUCUUUUCUUGGCUAACGAUAAGUAUAGAAAAUCCAUCUGCGCUGAAAGUAUUAUUCGUUACACCCAUUAUUACAUGGGGGUCGUUCAGUUUUCAAGUAUAAUAAAAUUAAUCUGGACUUUGUUCGUAUAUCAUAUCAACCAAAAUAACAGCACUUGCUUAUAUUGGCACCUAAUAAAGCACUUUGGUGUCAGAAGAACAAGAUAAUAAUAUUAACUACAAAGCAAAUGAUACUAGUUGAAACUUGAAAGUAACACUAAAAACAAUUUGCAAGAGCUAAAUAUUAGGAUUAUAAAUAUUACCCAUCAGUUGCUUGGACUCUCUCAUCUGGUGUUGCAUUAGAAGGAAAAUCUAUCUUGUAGACGGCAAAAGUCAGUAUGACACCUAAUCGAUUUGAUUUGAGCAGCUUGAAAGGAGCAGUGAGAACCCCUUUCCCAGAUUCUCUUGCACGCAAGAUAUUAUCACGAUCUUCCUGUUAGUACCUAAGAUGUUAAACUUUGAAUUUAUAGAGCAGUACUCCUUGUAUAUCGAACUUACCCACACAUAAUUAUUCAAAUAUUUUUAAUUAUUCCUUUAUACAGUACUAGAGCAGCAAGCAGAUGCAAAUUGUUAAUAUCAUAUGUGCAGCUUAUAUACUUUACACCACAAUGGCCAACUUCAAAUGCAAAAUUAUACGAUCCUCUUACUGAUCAAGUGUGAAUAUGAUAAUGCCAUAUUUUGAGAUGAUAAUAUUAAUAUGAAUAGCUAAUAACAGGAAAUGUCAGUUAAAGUAGUUUAAAACUUGAUGAAUUUCUAAAAUUUACCUUCCCUGACAGCAUAUCAAUGGAAAUUACGUGAGCAACAGUCUCCUGAGCAAAAAUAACUGGAGCAUAUUCCUCCUGAUUUGGCUGAAUUAAAGAUGGCUCUGGGGCUUCGGAUUCUUCCCCAUCAUAUACACCCUUAGGAACUGGGACUUGAUCAGAAUGAUCCAUCCUCUUAAUUUUCCAGCCUUGCUGCUUCUCAAAAUGUUCUCUUUCUGAGUGGAGCACCCUUACAGCAUAUGCUACACCACUUGUAAGGGGCCUCUCAAAAGCUGUUCUUUCAGUGUACCUGGCAAAGGUCCCCUGCAGGUUCAUGAUCAACUCUAAGAUUCCAAUCUGAGCUGUGCUAAUACUAAAUGAAUUGUAUUAUUACAAUUAUAUCAAUAUACGAUAUGCAGGCUAGAAGAAAAUUUAAUGCAAUCAACGUUAGAAUCAUAAACACACACACACACACACACACCACUAUAUCAACUAUAGCUACCUAGCAUCCGGAUAUACGAGAAGAGGACAGUACCUGAUCGAUAGCAGAGGGAUUCUUGGCAUGGUGAAAGGUUGAAAUCAAGAUAGACAUAGCUUGGACAUGAUUCAUACUCACAUUAAACUGAUCUUGUAACAUUCUAGCCCUCUCAUCACACAUACUUGCAAGAGUCUCCUUUCUUUUCUCCAAAGCUUGAGAGUUCAUAUACCAAAACACCCACAUCGAAAACAAGGUUCCAAUCAGCACCCAUGUCACCAAAAGAUUCCUCCACCAGCUUUUUCGAAAUCUCUUUAGACUAAAAUACUCAAAAUAGAAAUUAUAAAUCUUAUAAGCACUGAUCUUAUCCCACCACACCAGCCAUAGCUUCCUCCCAUCCCCAAGCAAAUCAUUCUUAGUGCUCAUAAUUCCUCCAUUAAUGAACCAGCUCAUUGAAAUCAAUGAUAUUAUCCAUCCCCAUAGCAUCAACAGCAACUGCCCCACCUUCAGAGCAAACCCAACAACAUAAAAAUAACUCAUCCACAACAGUAACAACAAUAAAUUCACUCCUUCAAACAGUAUCAAAUUAAUUAACCCCAACACAACAGUACUAAAAAAAUACUCUACCAAAAUAGAAGCCUCCCACUGUCAAAUCCUCACAACUCUCUAGACAGACACAACAUCAGUAUAUACAUACACCACACUCAAACGAACUUAAAAGAAGAAAGAAUGAAGCAAGAGAGAUUGAUAUGACAAGCCCAUCAGCCAUCUCAAGAGCAGUAAAUAAAAAUAUAAAAAAAGUAUUUAUAUGAUGCCAAAGGAAAGGAUGAUACUACCUUAUCCACCCAAAAUAUCUUGAAAACUGGAAUGCUGCAAGAAGUGAAAAAGAUAAGAAACACGAGCACCCAAACACCCACCAAAUCAAACCCAACCAAGAAUCAAACCAUCCUCAAGAUUCUUAGUCCAAAAAUUUGAUCUUUAUCCUAUUUAUCCACCAAUCAAGCAUAAAAACAAAAACCAAAAACAAAAAAAAACCCCAAGAAAUAAGAAAUCAAAUCAGAGUAACUCAAACAAAGAAUCUGACAGGAAAUCUAGCAAGUAACUAACAAGUAGUAGUACUUGAAGAAGCUAAUCAAAAGCAUGUGGGUGUUGUUUGACUAACUCAAAUAAGCCAAUUAUAAGUGUGUAAUAAAGAAGCAUGAGUGUGUGUAUGUGUGUAUGUGUUUUAUGGACAGGAAAUAUAGGCAGAAGAAUCUAUGUAAGAAAAGAUGAGGAGGAAUAAAUAUGGUGGUAAAAAUGUUUGUUAGCUAGCACAUGCUCUUAUCUUUAUCCCUUCUUUCUAUCUCCGUCUCAACUCUCAACCCACAAUAAUUCAAUUUAUAAAUCACUAGACUCGUUGUAAAUUUUUAAAGAUUUAUUUUUUAUCUCGAAAGCUACUUUUAAGUUGGGAGCAGGCCGGAACUAUACAGUGUCACUAUAAACCGAUAAUAGAUGCUGGCUCAUUGUUCGGAAAUUUCAGUAAGAUUGGAUGUUGAUAAUAUAUAUUCGAUUUGAAAAAAUGUUGGACAAGAAAAUUUUAGAAUAAAAAAUUUUUUCUGGAUGAUAACUAAUUUUAUAACAUUCGUAUUUAUGCUCUCUCAAAAAACAAAAACAUUCGUAUUUAUGCGGAGGUGAUAUAUAAUCGCUAUAUAAAAAGGCAUACAUUAUGAUGAGUUGAUAAGCAAAAUCACCAGUGUUUAUAGUUCCAGGCAUUGUAUGUAUCGUUUUCAUACCAUACAUGUGUCAGAAGAAGAAAAUGUGCUUUCCUUGAUCUGCUUUUGUAUUGCAGGUGUAACACAGAUGGUUAAUUAUAAUUUAUAAAGUAUACAAGAAUGUUAUUUAUUAUUUGUAAUUAAGAAAUUGUUAAAAGAUAGUAAAACAUAAAUUUUAAUUUGGUAAUCUGAAUAAAUUUAUUAACAAGAAUUAUCCAAGUGAGAACAGUUUGCUUGUGAGAAUAAUGAAACGGUUAUUCAGUAUUUUUUAAAAAGUGCAAAACAAUUAUUUUACAGUUAUUUUAUUUUUUCUAAUAUUAUAUUGUACUACAACAGAAUAACAUUGUUGCUAGUGUUUUUAAGCUAAAACGUGUACUUUAUAUAGCGCGAUCCUUUGUUAAUAAUAUAUAAUUUAUGAAAUAUAAAUAAUUUGUAAUAUAAUAAUAUAAAUAUUAUUUAUAUUGAAUCAAAUUUCAGAAAUCAAUAUAAUUUAAGUAAAAAAGUUAUUAUUCACAAUUCCACAAUUUUAAAUUAAUAAAUAAUAAAUUAUUUAUAAAUAUAAUAAAUAAACAAUAUAACAAACUGUUUUUGGUUUAUGUCUAGAUUAAAUAAUCUCAUCCAAACAAGUUUGUAUGUUUGCCCCCAAAAUUGCACACAAAAUUAUAAAAUAGAAAUCCGGAUUAAUCAAACUCAGUACUCAGUAGACACAUCAUUUGUCAAUGGGAAGAGCAGAACCAAUAUCAAUGUUAAAAAUAAGAAUUAUAAGACGGUUUGACAUAAGUUAAAAAAAUAGUUAUUAUUUAUGAAUGAGAAAUUAGUUAUAUGUGAAAAGUAACUUUUUUUGACGAAAAGCGAAGAUUUUGAUAAAGAACUAAAAUCCUGAGACACAAACCCUCGAAUUGUCAAUUACAACGUGAUUAAGAAACGAAAAAUGAGCUAAACAUAAAACCGUUUUGUUUUUAGAUCGCUUAACAAAUAUAAUAUUUAAAUUCUUGAUCCAAAAAGUAUUACAAUUAAAUCUCAAACCUACAUUAGUGGUGAAGAUAGUAGCAUCAUAAUAGACAAUCACAUAAACAGCAUCUGUAGCCCAAUGUUCAGAAUUUUUAGUUACAUAAACUGAUAUUGGAUUAACAAAUAACCCCAAAACAUGAACAAUUUUAUGUAGUGAAAGGUGAGCUCUUGCGAUAUUCACCAUCGUGCCAUAUUUGAUACAAGUCUUACAGAUCAUCCAAAAUAUCAUGUCUUCCCUUCUUAGAAACGUUAUCGAAACUGAAACCAAAAAGAAAAUACACAAAAAUAUGAAAACAAACACAAGCAUUCCAAAAAGAUGGGUACGGCCUUGAUGACAAUAUACUUGAUAAGAAAACUCACCCAAAAAGGGUUAGAUAUUAAUUUUUAUUAAUAUAUUAAUUUUUAUUAAUAUAUUAAUUUUUAUUAAUAUAACGACAAUUAGGAAAAAAGAUGAAAGAGCGAAGAUGAUUAAUCAGUAUGGAAGAUGAUGGUUGAAGAGCGAAGAAGUGACGGCUAGGACCCUAAUUUUGGAGAUAGACUCUCAAAACUGCAAACCCUUGUGAAAAGUAACUUUUAUUUUAUGUGUUUGGAUAAUUAACUUAUAUAUAUAACUUAUAGGGUAUAAAAAAUUAAUAAAAUAAAAAAUUAUUAUUAAUUACUUUUUAAAAUGGUCUUCAAAAUAUUUACAAAUCAAGUUUCAAAAAUAAAAAAUAAGUCACUAAAAAAGGUACGGAUUUUCAACAAGACUUGUAUUAUAACGACCAAACAAUGAAGCAAGCCGAUAUUUUUACUGUCAAUCUAUAUUUGAUAUUUUUUUCACACAAACGAAAAUAUUAUUCCCAUAGUCCUAUCAGGGUUUUUACACGAACGGGGAUUCGACAGGUAUUUUAAAAUUUUGAUUAAAUAUAAUUUUAUAAAUAUUUUUACAAAUACUUUUCUUUUGAAUAAAAUAUAAUAUUCAAAUUUUUAUUCAUAAAAGAAAAUUUUCAAAAAAAAAAAUGAAAUUAUACUUGAUCGGAAUCAUGAAAUACCUGUCGAGUUGUGAAAAAAUAUAUUAAGUAAUGAGUAAGAUAAAGAUAUAUUAAACAAUACUCCAUUUCCAAGGAGGCUCACGCAACAGAACAAAAUCUUUGCACGUUGUGGACUUGUGGCCUUAUUAAUCGGUCGAAGCAUGCAUCUAACCAUAACUCCACAAGUCAAGAAUCACCGCUGUAUGACAACCAACGUCCCAUUGUGUUGGACGCUUGUUCACUUGCGUGCCAUCAUGAAUUUGGCUCUCUUUGUCAUUGCCCCUUAAUUUGUUGCCAUGUCUUCGUGUUCGCUUCUUUCAUUCAUAAACUGAAGUGUUGGUGGAUACAUAUAAUUUAUUCGUCACUCGUGGAUGUUAAUUUCAGACACCUCUGUGUCCUAUCAACAUUUUCCUUAGCCAACGUAGUGUAUACAUGUAAUUAUUAGGUUAAGUAGGAUUAAAUAAUCUAAAUGUUGAGCACGAUUGGAGGGUCAAGGGUUUAUCCUCCCCGCGGUCAAUACUGACACUAUAUCGCUAUAAACCAUAUUAGUAAAAAAAAUAGUUUAAAUAUCUUUCAGGCUCUGUUCUAAAAGUCGGUGAUUAGUCAUCGAUUAAUCCUUGUUCAUAGCUCACUGAACUGAUUAAUUCUCCAAUUAAUCACCGAUCAAUCCGAUUAAUCUCUGAUCAAUUCAAUUAAUCCCCGAUUAAUCAUUGUUCCGUGACUUCACCGAUUAAAUCCGUUUCCCGCUUUUUACAACACUGUUCAGGUCACUAAAGCAAGUAUAAUAGUAUCUUAAAUUGAUGUCGUAAAUCUAAAUUCAAGGAUCCAACGAUAUUCUAGUAAUAUUUUAACUGAAACUUUAUUUCAAAUUAUAUUCUCUUUUAAUUAUAUUGUUUAGCUGAAACGAAAGAAAAUAAAUACAUAAUUUAACAACUAAAUCAUCACAAUCACCCAGUCCCGUAUAACAAGUGUUCGUCAUAAACAAUAAACACAAUAAUUCCGUUUUAAUAAUCAUUUGCAAGAUAAUUUUUUCAAAUUUUAAUCUUAUGAUGUUUUUAUUUUGGUCACGUAAUUUUAGGUGGGAUGGUGUAUUGUGGAAAUUGUAUAUUUGAUUAAUUUUAUAAUAAAUUAUAAUUUGAAGUAGGUGUUUUUAUUUUAAAAAAAUUAAAACAAUAAAUGUAGUCAAAAUAUAUAAAAGAACUUGUCAAACGUUACUUUUGUAAAUUAGAAUUUGGAUUAUAUGUUUUUACUUAAAUAAUAUUUAAUACCUGACAAUAUAUAAAUAUAUAUAUAUAUAUAUAUAUAUAUAUAUAUAUAAUCAAAACAUUAAAAGAACGUGGUCAAAAGUCACUUUUUGUGCAUUAAAUUUGGAUAAUAUGUUUUUAUUCAAAAAAAAAUUAUACUAAUAUUUCUAAAUACAGUUACAAUAAACGGAAAAAUAUGUGUCAAAAUUUGAAAUAAACGAAAAAAUAUGUGUCAAAAUGUAAAACGCCCCGUAAUUAUAAGAGAGUAAGAAAACCGCGGAGACUAUAUGAAAUUUUGGACAAAAUCAGUAAAAUGCACAUGUUAGUUCACCAUGGAACUCGUACAUAUCUAUCUGCUCACAAAAAAAAAAAAAAAAAAAAUUCAUAUAUGAGCUUGGCAAAAGUUACAAGAACCCAAGGCUUCCUUAACAACCAAAGACAUUGCAGCUAGUCAAAUUAGCAGGUGUAAGAUUAGGCUACAAUCCAUAUAAUUUGCUUCGUCCAUUUCUGUUCUUCGCCGAACUUUAGUGCACGCUGACUUCUCGUCUUAGGUAAAAGUAUCACUUUGAUUAAUCAUUUUUAUAGAUGAUCAAUGGCUAUUAGAGUAUUAGGUAAUUUACUUGCGACUUUGAACUUGUGAAAGAAAGAAAACAGAGUAAAAGGAAGAGAAUUGUUUUUUUCUUUGACAGAAAAAGGAAGAGAAUCGUUCAGUUUAAAGUUUUUGAAAAAUAUUGAAGAUUGGAGCCAGAAUUCACCAAUGCACUGUAAAUAAUAAGGUUUUACGAGAAAAUCAUAAAUUUAAUGAUUUAAGGAAAAUUUGAUGUAUUAAUUUAAGAGUGAUUACAAGUAAACUGGCAGUGAAAUUUUUGAUUUCGAGUUAAUUAUGUAUAAAAAUUUGUAAUCUGAAGAACACAUAAUAAUAAAUAUUCAUACAAAAUUUUACACAUCAAAUAAUUCAAAAUUUUACACAUUAAUUAAUUUUAAUCGAAUUUUGAUUGUUCAAAAUCUGACAACUAAAAAAAGACGGAAAAAGGACCGGGGAUGAGUGAGAGAAACGGCUGGUAGAUAAGAGCAAGUCCAAUAAGUUACCUAUCUCAUUACUUAUAAAUAAUAUAAAAUAAUGAGGGCUAGUGAGUGCUAGUGAUUUAGGAGCUCUAAUUUUAGUAUCCACUCCAAUAGUGAAUCUCUAUUCUUGUUCCUUAUUAUUAUUUUAAUAAUAAAUUUGAAUCUUACCCUUAUUUGAAUUUUAAAAAGCUGCAGAUAAAUAUGACACGUAUUAAUAACAUAACAGAGGGUUCGAGUUUACCUAUUGUUUUCUAACGAUUACAAAAGUAAGGUGUUUUAUAUAUAUACUACUCAUGUGUGUCUAUCUAGUAUCAAUCUUUUAUUCAAUCACCUUGUAUAUUCUUUCAAAUCUCUGAUGGAUCCCCAGGAUAUUGUGACAUAUUUAAUUCAAGAAGAAGAGGAGGAGGAGGAGGAGAUGAACACGGUUGUAGCUAUGUGUUAUUUAGACAAUGCAAACAAUAAGUAAUAUUGUAGAGGGGGGGGGGGGGGGNNNNNNNNNNNNNNNNNNNNNNNNNNNNNNNNNNNNNNNNNNNNNNNNNNNNNNNNNNNNGAAUAUAAAAACAAAACAGAAAUUUAAAGAACAAGGAUCUUAAAAAUUUCAGGUGGAUUGUUUGAUCCACCUGAGAGAUUUUUAUAUUAAGAACCUUCCAAGUAAAAAUACUUGGCUGCUUACAAAAGAAUGAAGAGCAGAAGCUUACAAUUUCUUGCUAACUUUCUCUAGUGCUUUGCUCUUCAGUUCUUGGUGUUUUGAUACUUUUAAAAUGUAAAAUUACAAAGUGAAUAUAUACUAUUACAAACAAAACUAGUCUGUAAAAGCAUUGUCCUACUCAGUCUCUAGCUAAAACAAAUAUAGAAUUUCUUGGACUUGAUACAGCAUUUGGCAGCUUGAAAUCCUUGUUGUUUUGCCAGAAAUGGUAGGCUUCGAGGUUCUCAAUAUUUGACUAAACUGCUUUUUGUUUAGCUUCUAAAACUUGUGCAGUAUCUGUCAUAUCAACCCAUGUGCUCUUUGUCUUUAUCUUGACUUGUUACUGUCAACUGCUAAUCAUCAACUGCUAAUAAUACCAGUUGAUACUUUUCUGAAAUAGCGGUUGAUAGUCUUCUUUGAAUUAUGGAAUAAUGGUGUUGAUGUAGCGGUUGAUAAUCUUCCUUCUAAUUAGCCAUUGAUACUCCAUGAUUAGCGAUCGAUCUUCACUUCACUUGGAUAGAUUACAUGACUUCUCAUAUUUAUAAUUAUGUCACCCUAUCUACACAUCCAUUGAUAGAUCAACUGCUAAUCUAAAAGUAUACAUAUUAUUACAUCAACUGCUAAGAUACUCCAGCUUUGUUACAAUUAGGGGUGUGCAUUCGGUUAACCGAAACCGAAACCGAAUUUUUUUUCGGUUAACCGAAACCGAACUUUAUCAAAAUCCUCUACCGAAAACCGAACCGAAUUUAUUUCGGUUUUAUAACCGAACCGAAAUUUAAAUUUCGGUUAUUACCGAAAACCGAAUUUAUAAACCGAAUUUUUUAAAAUAUAUUUGAAAAUGUGAAAUUUUCCUUCGCAAAUCUGAAAUCGGCAAUUUUACAUUAUUACAUAUUCAAGUAGAUUCAGCAGCAACAAACUAUUUACGUCUUUAGACCAGAGCAUAUUCAGACCCAAGCACCCUGCUGCAAAGUCUUUGCAAAUAUAUGCAUCAAAGCUCUGCCAGUUUUAUCAAUUGUAAAUUGCAGAUGAUAUCAAUUAUAUCAAUUUUAUUUAUUACUCCAUACACAUUGAUAAAUGUUGUUGAAUCACUCAGUGUAUACACUAUUCAUAUAAGAUAUAUAUAAAUUUAGUUUGCUAUCUCUCAUAAUUAUAUAAUAUUUAUAAUAUUACCUAAAAUAUUAUUAUUUUAAUUAAAUAUAUAUAAAUUCGGUUAACCAUUCGGUUUUCGGUUAACCGAAUUAAAAAAACCGAAAAACCGAAAACCGAAAUAUAUAAAAUUUGGCUACCGAAAACCGAACCGAAAUAUAAAUAUCGGUUAACCGAACCGAAAUUAUUUCGGUUUUUCGGUUCGGUUUUCGGUUAACCGAACCGAAUGCUCACCCCUAGUUACAAUACCUCAUCAGCCGUUGAUGGGUUAAUCUGAUCAAUUGAUACUGCCUUAGCAUGCUAUCAAUUGAUCAGUUACAUGCAAUUUUAUUCUAAGUAAGAAUAAAAUACUUUGUAUCAUCAAGCAUCACAUAUUCCUAACAAUCUCCCCCUAUUUAUAUCAGUAGGAAUUUCAGAUUUAAAUUUGAGGUGCUUGAUGAUU